ACACAGCGCCACAAGUGGCAACCGCUUUUAUUGGGCCUAAAGCGUUCGUAGCCGGUUUAGCAAAUUUUCUGUGAAAUCGUUGCACUCAAUGUAACGACGUGCAGGAAACACUACUAAACUAGGGACCGGGAGGCGUCAGAGGUAUUCUUGAGGGAGCGGUAAAAUGUUAUAAUCUCAAGAGGACCCCCUGUGGCGAAGGCGUCUGACGAGAACGGAUCCGACGGUGAGGAACGAAAGCCAGGGGAGCGAACCGGAUUAGAUACCCGAGUAGUCC
RNAcentral lists this ribosomal RNA (274 nucleotides) under uncultured bacterium. RNAcentral's name for it is "partial 16S ribosomal RNA". It matches the Rfam family "Archaeal small subunit ribosomal RNA", at positions 473 to 747 of the family's 1478-position model. The record is from RNAcentral.